Non-coding RNA from Zootermopsis nevadensis, 647 nucleotides. NCBI's taxonomy places the organism in Eukaryota, Metazoa, Arthropoda, Insecta, Blattodea, Termopsidae. The record is from RefSeq and is a predicted model, not a curated record.
CCUUCAGUUUGAAAAGCCGUUCUGGUUGUUAAAGCAUGUAGUACAUAAAAGUUUAAGGGUUAAUAAUAUGUGCUGUUUACAGCCAAACGGGUAACUGUCAUUGCAAAGUGCUCUAGUUUGGAAGUGUACCACGUGACAAAUAAAACUGGAGGUCUAUGAAAUAUAUUUUGCAGUAUUAUUAUUAUUAUUGGUUAGGCCUUCGUAGCAGACUCGUUUAACUGUUACCCCACGCUCUGUGUGCUAAAAUAAUAGUGUAUGUUGGUAUUAUUCGUGUAGAUUAUUCUGGCAGUCAAAUCAGGAUCACAAAGAAAUUGUGCAGUACCAUAUGAAAAGGUGACUUGAUCAAUUGUCAUCAGAACAGCCUUUAGCCUGAUCCCUGAAGUGAUGAAGAACAAGAAACUCCCUGGUAAAAAGAAUGCUGUUGAUGUCAACAUUAGUUAUGUUUCUGACUUGGAUGGGUAACCACUUCACCUGACCACAAUAACUUGGACAAAACCUCAGAUUCUACUUCUGGGUCACUAUGAUUCUGAAGAAGGAAGCAGCAAGUUCCUUUGAAAAGGCAUUCUGACAGUGUCCACCACAAUAAUUUAUUAUGUGACAUACAUCCAAACAAAUGUGUAUUGAUUAUUAAAACAUUGUUAAACACA